RNAcentral lists this ribosomal RNA (450 nucleotides) under uncultured bacterium. RNAcentral describes it as "partial 16S ribosomal RNA". It matches the Rfam family "Bacterial small subunit ribosomal RNA", at positions 338 to 795 of the family's 1533-position model. The record is from RNAcentral.
CCUACGGGUGGCAGCAGUGGGGAAUUUUGGACAAUGGGGGCAACCCUGAUCCAGCCAUGCCGCGUGCGGGAAGAAGGCCUUCGGGUUGUAAACCGCUUUUGUCAGGGAAGAAAUCUCCUGGGCUAAUACCUCGGGGGGAUGACGGUACCUGGAGAAUAAGCACCGGCUAACUACGUGCCAGCAGCCGCGGUAAUACGUAGGGUGCAAGCGGUAAUCGGAAUUACUGGGCGUGAAGGUGCAGGACGCGGUUGAAAUCCCCGGGCUUAACCUGGGAACUGCAUUUGUGACUGCAUAGCUGGAGUGCGGCAGAGGGGGAUGGAAUUCCGCGUGUAGCAGUGAAAUGCGUAGAUAUGCGGAGGAACACCGAUGGCGAAGGCAAUCCCCUGGGCCUGCACUGACGCUCAUGCACGAAAGCGUGGGGAGCAAACAGGAUUAGAUACCCCGGUAGUC